RNAcentral lists this ribosomal RNA (253 nucleotides) under uncultured bacterium. RNAcentral's name for it is "partial 16S ribosomal RNA". It matches the Rfam family "Bacterial small subunit ribosomal RNA", at positions 524 to 776 of the family's 1533-position model. The record is from RNAcentral.
UACAGAGGGGGCAAGCGUUAUUCGGAAUUAUUGGGCGUAAAGGGCGCGUAGGCGGCUUGGCAAGUGGCUGGGGAAAUCCCUCGGCUUAACCGAGGAACUGCCGUCCAAACUGCUUCGCUUGAGACCGGGAGAGGUGAGUGGAAUUCCCAGUGUAGCGGUGAAAUGCGUAGAUAUUGGGAGGAACACCAGUGGCGAAGGCGGCUCACUGGACCGGUACUGACGCUGAUGCGCGAAAGCGUGGGGAGCAAACGGG